CCAGCUGUCCUGCUCUGACGAGAGGAUGGGGGCAGACAGGGUAGGCACACAGUUGUCAACACAUUGUGAUGCAUUUUGUAAUCCUCUUAGAUGUUUUUCAAGAGACAGCAGAAACAAUUUAAAUUUCUCUUCGGUUAUAUUUGGGUAUAGGACCCGUGUUACUCCUGAAUGCAACACCUGGUGAAUGAAAGCUGAAGUCAGACUGAGAGUCCCCAGUUUAUGGGGGACACAGAUAUCUACCGGGUGCAGGACUCGGGGUCCCAAGACAGCUGCUUGCACCAUGGCUGAGGAGGAAGACCCCAGCAACUGUUCACGACUUUGGCUCAUUCCAACUGAGUGGAUUUAUGGACAUAGUAACAAUCGCCAACAUUUCAGAAGCUAUUCCCUGAACAAUGCACGAGUGUGCCAGGAGAAAAGAAACAACUCGAAGUUACAUAUGUGCUUCAUUUGUCCUCAGGAAAACAAGCUCCGAAGAUAUCCUGCCUCACCCAAUCUCUACCAAAGGAGUCCCAGCAGAAGAGAGGCGCCUGGCCAGGGAAUUCUGUGUACCCACUGACUUCCAAAGGCCUGGGACUGAUCCUACACUCUUUGGAGGGAAGAGAAGAUGUCAUUCCUAGCACAGGCUUGGUAUGCAGUAGGUACCCAAUACAUGUUUGAGGCUAUAAAUGUGAUUCCAAAAGGAGGUACCUUCAGUCUCCUCAUGAAAAGAAAACCCAGAGCAGCUGGACUAGAACCAGUGGUGAGGCAGCAAUGAGCAAGUGAGAGACGCCAGCCCAGGAGCUCAUAACAAAAUGUGCUGGUCAAUGAACAAACAUCAUGGCAGGCCCCUAAGGAGCUCAAGGCCCUGAAGUUGGUACUGGGAGAAGACAGAGAAGGAGAGUCAAUCCUGGCCUUCAGGGAGUUUCUUGAGGAAAGGAACCGUGUACACCUGAGGGGAUCAAACCAGUCCAAGCAAUGUUGCCUGACCACCAAGGAGUUAUAAGGCGAACAUGCUUGUGGCUUGCAGUGAAACUGCCUCGACUGCCAGAACCACCAAGCUAAGCCAUUCCUAGAUUCCUGUCCUACAGAAACCGUGAGAGAUAAUAAUUGUUUACUGCUUUGAGGCAUCACAUUUUGGGGUAAUUGUUAAACAGCAACAGGUAACUAACACGGGAGGGCAGACCUCUAUUGGCUUACAUCUCAGGAUUCGGUGAGAUUCUCCUUGAUAGUUCUACUCUCUGUCCUGUUGGAAAGUCCUGCAUCUUGAGAGAGGUAGGGAGAAGCCAUGGUGCCUCCUUGCCCUCUACAGAGCUGGGGACAGAGACUAGACAACCAAGGCUGCGUCUCUGGCUCUCAGUUGCGCUAGCCAACAAUGCUUUGACCAUCUCUACGAGGAAUCAGCAAAGUGUUCCUUAAAAGGCCAGAGAGAAAGUAUUUUAGGCCUUGCAGGCCACAUAGGAUAUUUGUUACAACUACUCAGCUCUGCCAUUGUAGUGCAAAAACAGCAUUCGACAACGCACCGUCAGGCAUUUUCUAAUAAAGCUUUAUUGAUAAAAACUGGUGAGUGAUCUAAGGGCCAUAGUCUGCCAAUCCCUGGUGUACACAGAGGGGAAACACAGCACACGAAGGCCUUUGGUCAGACAGGCUUACAGCGCUGGAAGUUCACUACCCGUAGAGGGAAGGCUAUUCCUCAGCUGCCUUACCUUGGGCCCCACGAAUGCCUUACCCUUGUCCCAGGAGGCCAAAAUAUUUGGCAUCUCUUACAAACACAGCUACACAUGAAAAACAGAUAAGGGAGCCCUUGGUUUGCUGAGAAUCUGGGAACUUGUCACAGCUGUUACUGAGGAAGUGUCCAUACCUGCUGGAAGGUCCAUUUCAGCCCCAGUAGAGACUAUGUGUCUUCAUUGGUUAUUGCUUUCAUACAUAUUACCUCUUUUCUUUCUCACCUCUAGUUAUUGUUGUGUAGAAAUUACUCCAAAACUCAAUGGCUCACUCACGUGGCUAGCAUGAGGCUGCUUGAGUGUCCUCACAACAUGGCAACUGGCUGAGCUCUAGAAGUCACAUGUUGUCAUAUCUACUGUAUUCUAUUGUUCAUAUAGGUCAGCCCUGAUUCAGUGUGGGAGGGACUAUAAAAGAGUAAGAAUAUCAGGAUGCAAGGAUCGUUGGAGGCCAUCUUGGAGGCUGGGUAGAGUGAGUGAGGUUAAUGCCAUACUGGGGAUGGUCACUACAAAAGCUCACCCAGUUAAGUUUGGUUGUUGCGUGAGUGGGGGGCAAAUAGAAGGGACACGAUCACCUGUUCAAAUAUGUAUAAGUGACUUGUAUUUUUAGGCCCUGUCUUGAGGCACCAAGGCUCCGGUACCAAUGGUUGUGGGUUUCAGCUACAUUCAACCACACAUUUUCCUUGGGGUGCUGAUACCACAAUCUCGAUGCUCUGCCAUUUCUCGGAGUCUGCAGUAAAUGUUUAUCUUUCUGUUUUGGCUUCCCAGCGUCCAAAUACUUUCGUAGAGGAAUGUCCCAUGUGGGAGUCUUCGUAGGGGCAGGCUCCUACCUGGUUCUUCGGCCUUUCUGUCAGUACCUGAUCUACCCUACGACUCUCCAAUAAACCCCUUCACUGUUUAAAUCAGCGACACUCAGAGGAAGCUCACUUGGUGCCAAAGCCACUACGUCUCUGCUGUUGUUGAGGAAACAGCUGCCAAAGCAGAACACCCGCUACGGAGUCGGACAGACCUUGGCUCCUGCCCCAGCCCUGCUGCUUUCAUGCGAUGACUUGCUCUGGAGGAAACCAGCCACCAUGGCAAGGGGACAUUUGUGAAGUCAUGGAGAGGCUUGUGGGAAUAAAUGUGGUGUUCUCUCAGAAUCUAGCACCAAAUCACCAGGCAUGCCCUACUUUGGAAGUAAAUCCCUUGGCACCAGACAAGCCUUCAGAUAACCGCAGUCCAGCUGACAUCUUAACUACAAGCUGAUGAGAAGCCCCAAGCCACAGUUGCCCAGCCAGACCACUUCUUAAUAUCUGACCCUUCGAAACUGUGACAGAGCAGAAAAUCUAGUGUAAUAGAACUCACUCAUGGCCAGGCAUACAACAGGGGCCUCGAUGCAGCUUUACAGAUGAGUACUGAAAGAUGGUGUGAAAUCCACCUUGCUCUUUUCAGCUCACUGGGACCUGACUCAUUCCAGUUUCAGGAACUAAGGCACUAUGGAAGAUUAAAAGAAGAAGAUGACAUGGCCCCUACCCCCCCAAAGACUGUGGUUUUCUAAUUGGGAAGAUAUGCACCUGUGAGAAGGAUGAAACUUAAUAACUGUAUAAAAUAACAAUGAAAGAGAAACUGAGGCUGGGAGACAUUAAGGACUUUCAUCCCUAUUCAGACUCUUACCUGGGUGACUCCGAAGCCCAAGAAGGCAUUUUUCCCCCAAACAUGGCAGUCUACAUCCUUGUGCUGACCUCUAGGCUGUUGGGUUGGACAGGAGGGCUCCUGUGUGGCCUGGCCCCUCACUAGAUCACAUGUGCUCAGUGACUGGGCUCUUACUUCUUGGCUUCUAUUUGUCUCUAGCAAUACCAGGGCACCCAGGCCCACUGGCUCAGCAAGCACCAAGAAGAAAUGUUCACACCAAGGAACACACCCACCAUGGGUUCCCUGGAAUGGAGGGUCCCAGCGAGCCACCACCAGCACUCAUGCCUUGGAAGAAUUUGGUGGAUGAGAAGAGAAGGACAUGGGUAACAGCUUCCCCACUAACCACGUACCUGGGAGCAUUCCCAGCCAUGAGCUCACCAUCCUUGCUCAGAUGUCAAGGCUGACAGAUAGUGAGCAGGGAUGAAAACAAACUAUGGUGAGCUUUGCUUUCUCUCUUCUCUUAGCUGAGAAGAUGCUGGCUGUGGGCUUUCCUGUUGCUGUUAAUGAUGUGUAACUGCAAGAUCUUGGGCUGCACUUUCUUAACACACACACGGAUCAUUCAUUCACUCAAUAAACAUACGUUGCAGGCCUAUUCCUGGCAAACUAGCAGUCAAAGAAGGGAAUUCUGGUGCCUGUCCUGGGUUCAGGCCUGGUCUAGGGAGUCUGCUGCUAUAAUUACUCGUCUUAUUAUUCAGUGGAAGUCCUAAGCUGGGUGCUGGGGGGAAGAGGGAUAGUACUCAAGGAGCAUUCCUGUUAGAAGAGGCAUUAAGACAAGUACACAAAUAGCCCGCGAUUGUGAAAUAAGAACCGUGCAGAAAACAACGAGUAACCUAACAGGCAACUUAGAAUUAUAAGCACUGUCUCUUUCAAAACUGCUCCUUGGGGAGGCCUCGUAGUUAUGGCUAAAACAUUGUUGCUGAUCGUUAAAGGAACUUUUUAACAUUUAUUGAUUUAUCGUUAUUAUAAAAGUAAAACAUAUUUGUUUUUACUUUUUUUUUUUAAAGUAAUCUCUACCCCCAACAUGGGGCUUGACUUCACAUCCCCGACGUCAAGAGUCACAUGUUCUACCGACUGAGCCAGCCAGGUGCCCCCAAAUUCAUUUUUUAAACUUUGGGAAGUAUAGAAAGCAUUUCAGAAAUGUCUCAUAAUCCCAUCAUCCAAGAAACUUUAGUCAAUGUUGUGCAUAUUUUCUUUCAUUUGAAUCUUUUCCGGAAGUAUUUUUGAGCUCCACAUUUGGUGCCUCUACUCCCUUCGUCUCUGUAGCACAUUCUUUUGACUUUGCCGAGUGAGACAGAUCUUGAUCCUUUGAAGGUAGGUUGCAUUUUGGAAACAUUCGUAAGUCAUCAGGAACCAGGUGCAGCAAAUUUGGUGUGAUCAAGCCAAGGGCACGUUGCUUUGGGUCCAAACACGAGAUGAUGGAGUAAUGAAACUAAUUUUAUGGGGGGGGGGUGGCUUGUAAAAUUGUACUAACAGGAGUUCCAGUGGAUGGCUUGAAAUUUGACUUUGCCACAAGCAGAGACUUAGAAAUAAAAGAUCUCGAAGAGGUCAGAAUGCUGGGUUGUUCAUUUUUAAUUUCUGGUACCAAGUGUUAUGCCUGACAAAUCACAGACACUUAAAAACAGUUGGGUGACCCGAAGGAGAUCGACCACUAUAUUUUUAAUUGAUUUUUAAUUGCUGUGUGACUUUGGUUAGCAUUCCUUCCUCUAAGGGACUCAGGCGAUUAUAACCCUCCAGAAUUUUCUAUAUUAUACUCAAGAAUAUAUAUAUUUUGAAAGUAAGGUAAAGAAAAAAUAGAUUGUUAACACUUUAAUUAUAUAAUUCAUAGAAAUAUUCCACUUAUAAAAAUGUAACCUUAAAUACAUGGCUAUACUUCUGACUACCAUAGUCAAUCCUAUUCCCCCCUAGUCCUCAGAUGAAAUGAAUUUAGUUAACAGAUUGAUAUGCAACUUUCCAAUUAUUCUAUGUUUGUG
Ailuropoda melanoleuca (giant panda) is the source of this 5338-nucleotide long non-coding RNA. RefSeq lists it as uncharacterized. The record is from RefSeq and is a predicted model, not a curated record. NCBI's taxonomy places the organism in Eukaryota, Metazoa, Chordata, Mammalia, Carnivora, Ursidae. The transcript is spliced from 10 exons.